RNAcentral lists this ribosomal RNA (253 nucleotides) under uncultured bacterium. RNAcentral's name for it is "partial 16S ribosomal RNA". It matches the Rfam family "Bacterial small subunit ribosomal RNA", at positions 524 to 776 of the family's 1533-position model. The record is from RNAcentral.
UACGGGGGGGGCAAGCGUUGUUCGGAAUUACUGGGCGUAAAGGGCGCGUAGGCGGCCUUCUAAGUCGGACGUGAAAUCCCUCGGCUUAACCGGGGAACUGCGUCUGAUACUGGAUGGCUUGAGGUUGGGAGAGGGAUGCGGAAUUCCUGGUGUAGCGGUGAAAUGCGCAGAUAUCAGGAGGAGCACCGGUGGCGAAGGCGGAUCUCUGGGCCAUUACUGACGCUGAGGAGCGAAAGCGUGGGGAGCGAACAGG